Long non-coding RNA from Vigna radiata var. radiata (mung bean), 424 nucleotides. RefSeq lists it as uncharacterized. The record is from RefSeq and is a predicted model, not a curated record. NCBI's taxonomy places the organism in Eukaryota, Viridiplantae, Streptophyta, Magnoliopsida, Fabales, Fabaceae. The transcript is spliced from 3 exons.
UACUUGCUCCACCGCCAGGAUCACUGCCUCCCCUUUCUAACGAGAUGGGUGCGCCGCAGCCGCAACGUUACCUGGGUCACCACCACCACCACCAUGUGCACGCACCGCCGCCGCCACCCAAGAUGAAUGCGGGGAAAAAGUCUCUCUAAAGCAGAAUAUUCAAGUCACAUCCCAUCAGUACAACACUAAGAGGAUCUGAAAUUUUCAGCAAGUAUGAGAUUUGUCUCGCUGGAUUUACUUCGUGGGAGAGCUCUCAUACAUGGUAAUAUCCUUUGCCAACAGGUCAGAGAUACUCACUGCACAAUGAUAAAGCUUAUGUUUGCAUUUCACUCAAAUUAUAUACAUUGAAAUGUGUAAUCAAACAUGCGAAAAUUGUAGCACUAUGUUUCAUUGUAAUAAUGUUCUGCUAUCAUUUUUCUUUAAA